GGAGCCAACACUGCCUUGUAAGCAGCAUUUGCAACUGCAGUGGCUGCCAAGAUACCAACGGGGUCACCUGGUGUCACACAAUUUGAUGCAUCCCUUGAGCCAAACUGAAGAACUAAGUUACCAGACGAAGUUCUUAUGGAUCCAUCAUAGCAUGCUGUGACAUCUCGGAGUCUUGACAUCAUGUUCUUGAAAAGACUGCCAGGCUCCACUAGCCCUUUAGAUGCACGCAUUAUCUUCUCCCUUUCACAUAUAGAAUGAAGUAGAGCCUCAUAUGGGUUUAGUCCAUGGU
This 289-nucleotide small RNA is filed under the name Oryza sativa Japonica Group (Japanese rice). RNAcentral's name for it is "sRNA Os01g0965101". Lineage: Eukaryota; Viridiplantae; Streptophyta; Magnoliopsida; Poales; Poaceae. The record is from RNAcentral.